CCCGCAGGCGCCGAAGGCUUCGAGCCGGGCGGGCUGUGGCGGCGUGCGCUGGGCGGGAAAGGCUGAGGCGUCCGUGCCCUGAGGCGGCCCGAGCAGAGGGGCGGCCCCAGUGCUGAACCUGGGGAGCUCAGCGAGACGGAAAGGCGAGAGAGAACGGGGCAGCAGCAGCUGCUCCAAAGCUGUUGCAGAAUGGCUCACCCAUUUUGGAUUCUACAAAGUUACGGUAGAGACGUGAUGCAGCCACUCUCCAGGCUGGGACCUGAAGCGCACAGAACUCAAGAAGAGCCAAGGGAGCAAAUUAACAGCAGUGUGUUCUACAUUGACCAUCUUCCUAUCAUUUCAGAAUGUAUUUUUAAGUGUGUAGGAUGACUCUAACAGUAUUCAAAGUACGUACUUCUCUAAAAUGCCUUGAAAAACCAUUUGCCAUGUAGUUUGUGAUCAUUAUUGUUUAGAAAGCGUGCUGCCAAAUGAAGAGGGGAGGAGUAAGAG
Molecule: long non-coding RNA, 489 nt
Filed under: Gallus gallus (chicken)
Lineage: Eukaryota; Metazoa; Chordata; Aves; Galliformes; Phasianidae
Description: long non-coding RNA NONGGAT001534
Source: RNAcentral